AACAGGUGAAGGAUACGAUCCAGCAAGGACAUGGUUAUAACACAGUCGGAUGUCUGUAGUGCCUGAUGAGGAAGAUCCCCCUGCUCCCACCACGUAGCGGCGUUUCAGCUCCAGAUAAUGUUUUCUGUGCGUAAUAACUUCCACAGUCUGUGGGAACCUCGUCGGCACAGCGUGGGUUUGUCCACCUUUAAUCAGCGUGCAGGCAGGAGGAAGGCUGCCCACCCCUGCGCAUGGGUUGGUGCGCUGCCUCUUGGGGAAUGGUUUGCUCUCUCGCCUGUCAGUAAGCCUGAGCCGAACAGGUCAGCCAGCACUGCAUCAGAUCGUUUGGGAAGUCUGCGGGGCUGCCGGGCAUAAGGAUAAAGUUCUUUAAAAGGCGUCAUUGCGUGAAGACUGACAGUGCAGCCAGGAACCACAGUUAAAACCAGCCAUUGAUUUGUUUCCUGCUUGAGUGCCAUAAAACAUUUUCAAGAAAUGGAAGAAGAUAAAGGGCAGAGUGCUAAAGCUACCAGUGCAGUGGGUGACUUGAGGAAAAGUUGGCAGACCUGGGCAGAGGAUCACAUUGAGUAUCAGAGAAAGAACCCGUUCAGCAACGACAACAGGCUUGCAUCUAAACUUGUGCAUACUCACAGAGGAGACCCUACCUACGGGAGACCCCCUGAAGGGUCUCAGACAGAGCAGAGAGGGAAGGAUGCUCACUCACACGUGGGAAAGGAAGUAGAAGAGCUAUGCUUGAUCAUUAGAAACACAGGAGAGGUGGGAGAAGAUGGACAUGUGAGUGUGACAUUCGGGCAGCUGUUUGAAACAUACGUGACUAUUUCCAAUAAAGUAGUGGGAAUCUUGUUAAGAGCCAGAAAACACGGUCUGGUUCAUUUUCAAGGUGAAAUGCUUUGGCAAGGAAAAGAUGAUGACGUGAUCAUCACUUUACUAGAAUAAGGCUUUGUCAUCUAAUGAAUUCUGCUGCAUAGUUCCAUUUGGAAAAACAUAUCUAGAUACCAUUUUGAAAGGGGUUUUCAUUACAGAAUUUUAACUCAGCUACUUAUUGGGACAUGAGCAGGAGUGAAAAUGAGCGAGAAGGAUAAAAAAUAUUUUUGUAAAAAUGGUAGAGAUUUGGACAGAAAUCACAGAUAAUGAACUAAUCCAUCACGCUGCCAUUGGAUUGUCCUUUCAUUAUUAUCAUCCACUACCAAGUAUACCGUGGUUCUUCAGAUAACUCUGCUGGCUUACUGCUUUAGGUUACUGAAAGUAUAAAUUACUAACUUGCUACCAUACAACACUGAUUCUUGCAGGUUGUGAAAUAUUCGAUGUGUGUGGGAUUUUGAUUUGUAAAACAUGGAAUUGAAAACUUU
Gymnogyps californianus (California condor) is the source of this 1346-nucleotide long non-coding RNA. RefSeq lists it as uncharacterized. The transcript is spliced from 3 exons. The record is from RefSeq and is a predicted model, not a curated record. NCBI's taxonomy places the organism in Eukaryota, Metazoa, Chordata, Aves, Accipitriformes, Cathartidae.